UUCUCUUGUCUAAUAUAAUUGACACAGGACUCUGAGAUUUUAGCUAAGCUCAGUGUAUUCUUAAUUCACAGGAGAAUUGAUGAUCUAAGCUUGGAAAUUUCAAUUUCAGAUCAAAGACCUCUUUGGCCCUGAUCCCUUUGCUUUACUCAAGAUGGCAGGUGUUGAUAAUGAAGUUCUUAUUAUUGAGAAUAAUGAUGAGGCUUCUGUUUGGACUCAAAAGCAUGAAGAAAUUUUCAUUGAACUUAUGGAAGAAGAAGUCUUAAAGGGAAAUAAGAAUACCACAACCUUUACUAAGCAAUCAUGGAAAUAUAUAAAGGAGGAGCUUUGUGGACGAGCAAAAAGAAAUUAUAGUGAUAUGCAACUAAGGAACAAAUACAAUCAAUUAAAGCAAAAGCAUAAGGAUUUUAAGUCUUUACUAAAAGAGACUGGUAUGUGAUACAAUGCAGCGACUGGAGAAGUUAGUGCGACAGAUGAAGUUUGGGAUAAACUUA
Molecule: long non-coding RNA, 491 nt
Organism: Humulus lupulus (European hop)
Lineage: Eukaryota; Viridiplantae; Streptophyta; Magnoliopsida; Rosales; Cannabaceae
Exons: 3
Source: RefSeq, a predicted model, not a curated record